UGGGGAAUAUUGCACAAUGGGGGAAACCCUGAUGCAGCAACGCCGCGUGAGUGAAGAAGUAUUUCGGUAUGUAAAGCUCUAUCAGCAGAGAAGAAAAUGACGGUACCUGACUAAGAAGCACCGGCUAAAUACGUGCCAGUAGCCGCGGUAAUACGUAUGGUGCAAGCGUUAUCCGGAUUUACUGGGUGUAAAGGGAGCGCAGGCGGUCUGGCAAGUCUGAUGUGAAAAUCCGGGGCUCAACUCCGGAACUGCAUUGGAAACUGUCAGACUAGAGUGUCGGAGAGGUAAGUGGAAUUCCUAGUGUAGCGGUGAAAUGCGUAGAUAUUAGGAGGAACACCAGUGGCGAAGGCGGCUUACUGGACGAUAACUGACGCUGAAGCUCGAAAGCGUGGGGAGCAAACA
This 402-nucleotide ribosomal RNA is filed under the name uncultured bacterium. Its description in RNAcentral is "bacterial SSU rRNA". It matches the Rfam family "Bacterial small subunit ribosomal RNA", at positions 355 to 774 of the family's 1533-position model. The record is from RNAcentral.